RNAcentral lists this ribosomal RNA (536 nucleotides) under uncultured bacterium. RNAcentral's name for it is "partial 16S ribosomal RNA". It matches the Rfam family "Bacterial small subunit ribosomal RNA", at positions 354 to 883 of the family's 1533-position model. The record is from RNAcentral.
UGGGGGAAUUUUGGACAAUGGGCGAAAGCCUGAUCCAGCAAUGCCGCGUGUGUGAAGAAGGCCUUCGGGUUGUAAAGCACUUUUGUCCGGAAAGAAAUCCUUGGCUCUAAUACAGUCGGGGGAUGACGGUACCGGAAGAAUAAGCACCGGCUAACUACGUGUCAGCAGCCGCGGUAAUACGUAGGGUGCAAGCGUUAAUCGGAAUUACUGGGCGUAAAGCGUGCGCAGGCGGUUUGCUAAGACCGAUGUGAAAUCCCCGGGCUCAACCUGGGAACUGCAUUGGUGACUGGCAGGCUAGAGUAUGGCAGAGGGGGGUAGAAUUCCACGUGUAGCAGCGAAAUGCGUAGAGAUGUGGAGGAAUACCGAUGGCGAAGGCAGCCCCCUGGGCCAAUACUGACGCUCAUGCACGAAAGCGUGGGGAGCAAACAGGAUUAGAUACCCUGGUAGUCCACGCCCUAAACGAUGUCAACUAGUUGUUGGGGAUUCAUUUCCUUAGUAACGUAGCUAACGCGUGAAGUUGACCGCCUGGGGAGUAC